RNAcentral lists this ribosomal RNA (250 nucleotides) under uncultured bacterium. RNAcentral describes it as "partial 16S ribosomal RNA". It matches the Rfam family "Bacterial small subunit ribosomal RNA", at positions 959 to 1211 of the family's 1533-position model. The record is from RNAcentral.
ACGCGUUAAACCUUACCAUCCUUUGACAUGGCGUGUUACCCAGAGAGAUUUGGGUGCCACUUCGGUGGCGCGCACACAGGUGCUGCAUGGCUGUCGUCAGCUCGUGUCGUGAGAUGUUGGGUUAAGUCCCGCAACGAGCGCAACCACGUCCUUAGUUGCCAUCAUUCAGUUGGGCACUCUAGGGAGACUGCCGGUGAUAAGCCGCGAGGAAGGUGUGGAUGACGUCAAGUCCUCAUGGCCCUUACGGAUG